CAAAGAUCUACAAAUGAAAGAUAACCUUUGUGGAGUUUUGAUGAGGCCAUGAAAUGUCUGAAUGAACACUGGACCCUUUCCCUAGCAUGUCCCAGUAUCUAGGUCCUUGGCUGCAGAGAGAGGUUGAAUCUUUUGUGCUUGGUUAUUUCAGGCGGAAGUGUUUCGAGACACAGUCCACAUGCUGUUGGAGUGGCUUUCUGAAGCAGAGCAAACGCUUCGCUUUCGGGGAGCACUUCCUGAUGACACAGAGGCCCUGCAGUCUCUCAUUGACACCCAUAAGGAAUUCAUGAAGAAAGUAGAAGAAAAGCGAGUGGACGUUAACU
RNAcentral lists this small RNA (323 nucleotides) under Pan troglodytes (chimpanzee). RNAcentral's name for it is "processed transcript". The record is from RNAcentral. Lineage: Eukaryota; Metazoa; Chordata; Mammalia; Primates; Hominidae.